GACGAACGCUGGCGGCGUGCCUAAUACAUGCAAGUUGAGCGCUGAAGGUUGGUACUUGUACCGACUGGAUGAGCAGCGAACGGGUGAGUAACGCGUGGGGAAUCUGCCUUUGAGCGGGGGACAGCAUUUGGAAACGAAUGCUAAUACCGCAUAAAAACUUUAAACACAAGUUUUAAGUUUGAAAGAUGCAAUUGCAUCACUCAAAGAUGAUCCCGCGUUGUAUUAGCUAGUUGGUGAGGUAAAGGCUCACCAAGGCGAUAAUACAUAGCCGACCUGAGAGGGUGAUCGGCCACAUUGGGACUGAGACACGGCCCAAACUCCUACGGGAGGCAGCAGUAGGGAAUCUUCGGCAAUGGACGAAAGUCUGACCGAGCAACGCCGCGUGAGUGAAGAAGGGUUUCGGAUCGUAAAACUCUGUUGGUAGAGAAGAACGUUGGUGAGAGUGGAAAGCUCAUCAAGUGACGGUAACUACCCAGAAAGGGACGGCUAACUACGUG
This 497-nucleotide ribosomal RNA is filed under the name uncultured bacterium. RNAcentral's name for it is "partial 16S ribosomal RNA". It matches the Rfam family "Bacterial small subunit ribosomal RNA", at positions 28 to 507 of the family's 1533-position model. The record is from RNAcentral.